Non-coding RNA from Triticum aestivum (bread wheat), 125 nucleotides. Lineage: Eukaryota; Viridiplantae; Streptophyta; Magnoliopsida; Poales; Poaceae. The record is from Rfam.
AAACUACUCCCUCCGUCCGAAAAUACUUGUACAAGGAAUGUAUGUAUCUUGAUGUAUUUUAGUUCUAGAUAUAUCCAUUUUUAUGCAUUUCUACGACAAGUAUUUCUGGACGGAGGGAGUAUAAA